RNAcentral lists this ribosomal RNA (301 nucleotides) under uncultured bacterium. RNAcentral's name for it is "partial 16S ribosomal RNA". It matches the Rfam family "Bacterial small subunit ribosomal RNA", at positions 509 to 807 of the family's 1533-position model. The record is from RNAcentral.
CAGUCGCCGCGGGAAAACGUAGGUGGCAAGCGUUGUCCGGAAUUAUUGGGCGUAAAGGGCUCGCAGGCGGUUUCUUAAGUCUGAUGUGAAAGCCCCCGGCUCAACCGGGGAGGGUCAUUGGAAACUGGGAAACUUGAGUGCAGAAGAGGAGAGUGGAAUUCCACGUGUAGCGGUGAAAUGCGUAGAGACGUGGAGGAACACCAGUGGCGAAAGCGACUCUCUGGUCUGUAACUGACGCUGAGGAGCGAAAGCGUGGGGAGCGAACAGGAUUAGAUACCCGAGUAGUCCCUGUCUCUUAUAC